This 859-nucleotide ribosomal RNA is filed under the name uncultured bacterium. RNAcentral's name for it is "bacterial SSU rRNA". It matches the Rfam family "Bacterial small subunit ribosomal RNA", at positions 49 to 893 of the family's 1533-position model. The record is from RNAcentral.
UUAGAAUGCAGUCGAACGGGAUGAAGUUGUAGCAAUACCGCUUCAUUCAGUGGCGCACGGGUGCGUAACACGUGAGUUACAUGCCCUGCAGUGGGGAAUAGCCCGCCGAAAGGCGGAUUAAUACCCCAUGGUCCCGCAAGGGUAAAGGUGGCCGCAAGGCUGCCGCUGCAGGAUCGGCUCGCGGCCUAUCAGCUUGUUGGUGAGGUAACGGCUCACCAAGGCGACGACGGGUACCUGGUCUGAGAGGAUGAUCAGGCACACUGGAACUGAGACACGGUCCAGACACCUACGGGUGGCAGCAGUCGAGAAUAAUUCACAAUGGGGGAAACCCUGAUGGUGCAACGCCGCGUGGAGGAUGAAGGUCUUCGGAUUGUAAACUCCUGUCAUCGGGGAGUAAGACCUGGGCGUGAAUAGCGCACAGGGUUGAUAGUACCCGAAGAGGAAGGGACGGCUAACUUCGUGCCAGCAGCCGCGGUAAUACGAAGGUCCCAAGCGUUGUUCGGAAUCACUGGGCGUAAAGGGAGCGUAGGCGGCGUGGUAAGUCAGAUGUGAAAUCCCGGGGCUCAACCCCGGAACUGCAUCCGAUACUGCCGUGCUUGAGGGUUGGAGAGGUAGCUGGAAUUAUCGGUGUAGCAGUGAAAUGCGUGGAUAUCGAUAGGAACACUCGUGGCGAAAGCGAGCUACUGGACAACAUCUGACGCUGAGGCUCGAAGGCUAGGGGAGCAAAAGGGAUUAGAUACCCCUGUAGUCCUAGCAGUAAACGGUGUGCGCUUGGUGUGAGGGGAAUUCGACCCCCCCUUGGUGCCCGGAGCUAACGCGUUAAAGCGCCACUCGCCCUGGGAAGUACCGGUCCGCAAGG